Molecule: ribosomal RNA, 492 nt
Filed under: uncultured bacterium
Lineage: Bacteria
Description: partial 16S ribosomal RNA
Rfam family: Bacterial small subunit ribosomal RNA
Source: RNAcentral
GAUGAACGCUAGCUACAGGCUUAACACAUGCAAGUCGAGGGGAAACGACAUCGAAAGCUUGCUUUUGAUGGGCGUCGACCGGCGCACGGGUGAGUAACGCGUAUCCAACCUGCCCAUCACUUGGGGAUAACCUUGCGAAAGUAAGACUAAUACCCAAUGAUAUCUCUAGAAGACAUCUGAAAGAGAUUAAAGAUUUAUCGGUGAUGGAUGGGGAUGCGUCUGAUUAGCUUGUUGGCGGGGUAACGGCCCACCAAGGCAACGAUCAGUAGGGGUUCUGAGAGGAAGGUCCCCCACAUUGGAACUGAGACACGGUCCAAACUCCUACGGGAGGCAGCAGUGAGGAAUAUUGGUCAAUGGGCGAGAGCCUGAACCAGCCAAGUAGCGUGCAGGAAGACGGCCCUAUGGGUUGUAAACUGCUUUUAUAAGGGAAGAAAGUGAGAGUCGUGACUCUUUUUGUAUGUACCUUAUGAAUAAGGACCGGCUAAUUCCGUG